ACGAAAACAACUUUUUCUUUCAAAAGUGAAACUUCAAUUUUUCUCUGAUACUGUACGCAUAUAUUCCUCGAAACCUGUCACUACGGGGAGCCACACAAUUAAGAAUUCGAUGUGUACGUAACACUUUCUUUCCUACAUAUAAAAAUAUUCUAUGACAAAACCAAUUUGUGAUUAUAAAUUCGCGCGCGAAAUAUCGAUCCUCGUUUAAUAUUUCACGAGUUGUCGUUUGUCAGAAAACAUUUAUAAUGACAACAUUCGUUCCUGUAAAAGUAUCAGUCAAGCAGUGAUAUUCUAGCAAAAGUAUCAGUUAGGUAUCGAUAUUUUAAAGUAAGUAUUGAAGAGAUAUCGAUACGAUUCAGUAUUGGAUUGAAAUUGGUCAAUUGGUAUCGAUAGAUAUCGAUGCGAUAUUAAUAUUAUCCGAUAUUAUCCGAUAUAUCCGUUAUUUCACGGACACACCACGCGCUGCGUUGCCUGUCCUAUUUUUUCGCGUAACUGUUUUUCGCGAACACGUUGGUGUUGAUUGCACUUAAUUCUGAGCCCUGGACAUAAAAUCAUGUGUUCUUCGUAUGGUGCAAUAAAAGCGAUACAAUGGUUCGAAAAAGGUAAACGAACAUCACACGUUGCUAUGAAGAUGAAUACCUACGUUCGCAUUUUUGGGGUUCUCUCCUGUCAGGGAAUAGGCGACAACCGACAUAUUAAUAUUUUACAUAUACGGCCAUUAGAAAAUAUAAAUGAGUUGACAAAUCAUUUUCUCGAGGUUAUUUAUUAUAUAAAUAAUAUUAGGUAAAAACGAGGUAUAUUUAUUAUAUAAAUAUAAUAUUAUGUAAAGCAAAUGAGAAAGUAGAUAAUGGGCCAAAUCGUCGUGAUGUCGAAAUGAAAGAAAAGUAAUUUGAUUUUGAAAAUAA
Molecule: non-coding RNA, 905 nt
Organism: Megalopta genalis
Lineage: Eukaryota; Metazoa; Arthropoda; Insecta; Hymenoptera; Halictidae
Source: RefSeq, a predicted model, not a curated record